RNAcentral lists this unclassified non-coding RNA (286 nucleotides) under Hevea brasiliensis (rubber tree). The record is from RNAcentral. Lineage: Eukaryota; Viridiplantae; Streptophyta; Magnoliopsida; Malpighiales; Euphorbiaceae.
ACCAAAAUAACUAAAAAGAUAGUAAAUAACAAGCCUUAUUACCACCAAAAUGGAUGUCUCGGAGAUUCUUAAUUAUCUUAACUUUGAUCCUACGACAUCAGUAGCUUAGGUUGUAAACUUACAAUGUAAUUAGGUAUUUUAUUUACUAUGUAAUUAGGUUGCAAACUUACCAUUUAAUUUAGAAAAUCAAUUUUAACUUUUAAGAGUUAAUUUCAUAUUAUUUAUUUUUCUUAAAUUUUUUCUUGCCAAAGCCUAAAUUUAUACCUAGCAAAUAUUAUUAAAGCCU